This 432-nucleotide unclassified non-coding RNA is filed under the name soil metagenome. Its description in RNAcentral is "partial contains 5.8S ribosomal RNA, internal transcribed spacer 2, and large subunit ribosomal RNA". The stretch from base 1 to 120 matches the Rfam family "5.8S ribosomal RNA", at positions 35 to 154 of the family's 154-position model. The record is from RNAcentral.
GAUGAAGAACGUAGCGAAAUGCGAUACGUAAUGUGAAUUGCAGAAUUCAGUGAAUCAUCGAAUCUUUGAACGCAUAUUGCGCUCUCUGGUAUUCCGGAGAGCAUGCUUGUUUGAGUAUCAGUAAACACCUCAACUUCCAUAUCUUUUUUGAAAUGGGAGUUGGACUUGAGUGAUCCCAACGCUUUUCCUCACCGAAAAGUGGCGGGUUACUUGAAAUGCAGGUGCAUCUGGACUUUUCUCUGAGCUAUAAGCAUAUCUAUUUAGUCUGCCUAAAAACAGAUUAUUACCUUUGCUGCAGCUAACAUAAAGGAGAUUAGUUCUUGUGCUGACUGAUGCAGGAUUCACAAAGACAGGCUUCGGCCGACUUUGUAAACUCGAUCUCAAAUCAAGUAAGACUACCCGCUGAACUUAAGCAUAUCAAUAAGCGGAGGA